This is a non-coding RNA of Cricetulus griseus (Chinese hamster), 164 nucleotides long. NCBI's taxonomy places the organism in Eukaryota, Metazoa, Chordata, Mammalia, Rodentia, Cricetidae. The record is from Rfam.
AUAGUUACUUAGCUGGGGGAGAUACCAUGAUCACCAAGGUGGUUUUCCCAGGGCGAGCCUAACGUGUUGCACUCAGAUAUGCUGACCCCUGAGAUUUCCCCAAAUGCAGAAAAUUCAGCUGCAUAAUAUGGGGCAGUGGGUGACUGCAUUUCUGCUCUUCUUGA